RNAcentral lists this long non-coding RNA (1367 nucleotides) under Canis lupus familiaris (dog). Its description in RNAcentral is "lncRNA (ENSCAFG00000056532.1, ENSCAFG00845016978.1)". Lineage: Eukaryota; Metazoa; Chordata; Mammalia; Carnivora; Canidae. The record is from RNAcentral.
UUUUUUUUUUUAAUUUUUAUUUAUUUAUGAUAGUCACAGAGAGAGAGAGAGAGAGACAGAGACAGAGACACAGGCCGAGGGAGAAGCAGGCUCCAUGCACCGGGAGCCCGACAUGGGAUUGGAUCCCGGGUCUCCAGGAUCGCGCCCUGGGCCAAAGGCAGGCGCCAAACCGCUGUUCCACCCAGGGAUCCCUAAAGGAGACAAUCUAACAAGAGAAUCUAACAGUUGUGAAUAAUGUUUGUUACUAUUUUAUAUAUUUGGAUGCUCUCAGGUUGGGUGCAUAAAUAUUCGCAAGGAACUAAUUAAUAGUAAUUUAAUAAUAGUAUGGAACUAUAACACCCCACUUACAUCAAUGGGCAGAGCAAACAGAAAACAUGAAAACAGUGGCUUUGAAUGACAGUGGACUAGAUAAACUUGACAGAUGUAUUAAGAGCAUUUUAACCUAAAGCAGCAGACUACACAUUCUUUUCAAUUGCAUGUGGGCCAUUGUUCAGAAUAAAUCACAUAUAAGGUCAUAAAUCAGGUCCUAACAAAGACAAAAAGAUUGGGAUAAUACCAUGCAUUUUUUUUUUUUUUUAAGAUUUACUUAUGGGACACCUGGGUGGUACAAUCAGGUAAGUGACUGACUCUUGGUUUUGGCUCAGAUCAUGGUCUCAGGGUCAUGAAACUGAGCCUUGCAUUGGGCUCUGUGUUCAGUGUGGAGUCUUCUUGGGAUUAUCUCUCACUCUCCCUCUAUCCCCCCUGCUCCUGCUCUCUCUCUAAAAAUAAAUACAUCAAUCUCUUUUUAAAAAUUUACUUAUUUGUUUUAUGGAAGGGAGGGAGAGAGAAUUUCAAGAAGAUUGUGCUGAGCACAGAGUCCAACACAGGGCUCAAUCUCACAACCCUGAGAUCAUGACUUGAGCCAAAAUCAAUAGUCAGUAGCUUAAGGAAAUGUUCCACCCAGGCACCCCCAUGUAUCUUUUCUGACCAUAUUGCUAUGAAACUUGAAGUCAACCACAAGAAGAAAAAUGGAAAGGCCACAAAUACAUGGAGAUUAAACAACAUGCUACUAAACAAUGAAUGAGUCAACCAGGAAAUAAAUGAUGAAAUAAAAUUAACAAGGCAGGAAACAACAAAUGUUGGAGAGGAUGCGGAGAAAAGGGAACCCUCUUACACUGUUGGUGGGAAUGUGAACUGGUGCAGCCACUCUGGAAAACUGUGUGGAGGUUCCUCAAACAGUUAAAAAUAGACCUGCCCUACGACCCAGCAAUUGCACUGUUGGGGAUUUACCCCAAAGAUACAAAUGCAAUGAAACGCCGGGACACCUGCACCCCGAUGUUUCUAGCAGCAAUGGCCAAUAUAGCCAAACUGUGGAAGGAGCCUCGGUG